This 563-nucleotide ribosomal RNA is filed under the name uncultured archaeon. RNAcentral's name for it is "bacterial SSU rRNA". It matches the Rfam family "Archaeal small subunit ribosomal RNA", at positions 156 to 722 of the family's 1478-position model. The record is from RNAcentral.
AUAGGUCUAAUGUGCUGGAAUGCUAUUAGGCCGAAAACUCCGGUGCCUUAGGAUUGGUCUGCGGUCUAUCAGGCAGUAGUGGGUGUAACGGACCCACUAGCCCGUGACGGAUAUGGGCCUUGAGAGAGGGAGCCCAGAGAUGGACUCUGAGACAUGAGUCCAGGCCCUACGGGGCGCAGCAGUCGCGAAAACUUCGCAAUGGGGGAAACCCCGACGAGGGAAUUCCAAGUGCCAGCACUUUGUGUUGGCUGUUCUUCUGUCUAAAAAACAGGAGAAGUAAGGGGCGGGUAAGACGGGUGCCAGCCGCCGCGGUAAUACCCGCGCCCCGAGUGGUGGUCGAUAUUAUUGAGCCUAAAACGUCCGUAGCCGGUCUUCUAAAUCCUUGGGUAAAUCGGGCAGCUCAACUGUCCGAAUUCCGGGGAGACUGGGAGACUUGGGACCGGGAGAGGUCAGAGGUACUUCUGGGGUAGGGGUAAAAUCCUGUAAUCCUGGAAGGACCACCGGUGGCGAAGGCGUCUGACUAGAACGGAUCCGACGGUGAGGGACGAAGCCCUGGGGCGCAA